RNAcentral lists this ribosomal RNA (492 nucleotides) under uncultured bacterium. RNAcentral's name for it is "partial 16S ribosomal RNA". It matches the Rfam family "Bacterial small subunit ribosomal RNA", at positions 29 to 507 of the family's 1533-position model. The record is from RNAcentral.
AGUGAACGCUGGCGGUAGGCCUAACACAUGCAAGUCGAACGGCAGCACAGUAAGAGCUUGCUCUUACGGGUGGCGAGUGGCGGACGGGUGAGGAAUACAUCGGAAUCUACUUUUUCGUGGGGGAUAACGUAGGGAAACUUACGCUAAUACCGCAUACGACCUACGGGUGAAAGCAGGGGAUCUUCGGAUCUUGCGCGAUUGAAUGAGCCGAUGUCGGAUUAGCUAGUUGGCGGGGUAAAGGCCCACCAAGGCGACGAUCCGUAGCUGGUCUGAGAGGAUGAUCAGCCACACUGGAACUGAGACACGGUCCAGACUCCUACGGGAGGCAGCAGUGGGGAAUAUUGGACAAUGGGCGCAAGCCUGAUCCAGCCAUACCGCGUGUGUGAAGAAGGCCUUCGGGUUGUAAAGCCCUUUUGUUGGGAAAGAAAAGCAGCAGGUUAAUACCCCGCUGUCCUGACGGUACCCAAAGAAUAAGCACCGGCUAACUUCGUG